Molecule: ribosomal RNA, 253 nt
Filed under: uncultured bacterium
Lineage: Bacteria
Description: partial 16S ribosomal RNA
Rfam family: Bacterial small subunit ribosomal RNA
Source: RNAcentral
UACGUAGGGACCAAGCGUUGUUCGGAUUUACUGGGCGUAAAGGGCGCGUAGGCGGCAAUUCAAGUCAUCUGUGAAAUCUCCGGGCUUAACCCGGAACGGUCAGAUGAUACUGCUUUGCUAGAGUGCGGAAGGGGCAAUCGGAAUUCUUGGUGUAGCGGUGAAAUGCGUAGAUAUCGUAAGGAAGACCAGUGGCGAAGGCGGGUCUCUGGACAGUUCCUGACGCUGAGGCACGAAGGUCAGGGGAGCAAACGGG